This is a long non-coding RNA of Arabidopsis lyrata subsp. lyrata, 1324 nucleotides long. RefSeq lists it as uncharacterized. The transcript has 2 exons. The record is from RefSeq and is a predicted model, not a curated record. Lineage: Eukaryota; Viridiplantae; Streptophyta; Magnoliopsida; Brassicales; Brassicaceae.
AGCCAAGAAAAAGGCAGCCACAAUGUCUUCUCAGAUAAAGAAAAAAAACAAAAAAAAAUCUAUGGUCUUGGUAUCCCAAAUCAUUCUCUAGUUUCUACAUACAGUAAAACCUCUAUAAAUUAAUACUCUAUAAAUUAAUGAGUUUUUUGCAUCUCAGGACACUUUGUGAGUUUCUAUGAGCAUAUAAGGCACAUUAGAGGGAGUAGGUACUUUUUUUUGAGUUUUUUCACUGUUCCAAAAAAAUUAAUACCAGUUUACCCUCACUACACGUGGACAGUUAACCCGACUAUUGUUAACUUGUUUAUUCUCAACCGUUGGAUAUGUAGGAGAGAGAAUAGAUCUAACGGUUUGUGGCAAGCUUUAGAUGAGAGAAUAGAUCUAACUUCUCGCCGGCAACCUCCGCAGAUCUUGAUGAUGCCUCCACUUCAUUCUCCGUCCAUUUUCAAACAGUGCCGGCGAAGACCAUUAGGCUGUGCUUCCAACUGGGAAUCCUUCUCGGGCUCAUCUCCCGAAGAUCUUUGCUUCUCUUUCCUUAGAAACUCGCUGUCAUCCGCCGCCACCUCGCGCCGCUCUGCCUUUGCUUGCGUUUCUCUCCGAUUCAACGGUUCGGAGCAUUCCGAUUCAACGGUUCGGAGCAUUCCGGUGUCCAAAUGGCGAGUUGAGGAAUUUUGUGAGUGCUAAGUAUGUUUGGUGAGAGCAACAAUGGAGUUUGUGAAGAUCGUGUAGCUUCUAUAUUUUACUUCACGGAGAAGCCUCUCUAUAUUUAGAUUUUUUGUAGAUAUGUUGGAAGAAGACGAUGAGAGAGGCGGUGAUGACGUGUCACAUUUCUUUAGAAGCAACUUCAUCAAUCGACUUACUUAUUUUGUGUUUAUAAAUCUCUCUCUCUCUCCCUCUCUCUCUCUCUCUCUCUCUCUCUUGAAGAAGAAGAAGAAGAAGAAGAAGAAGAAGAAAGAAGAAGAAGAAAAAAGAAGAAGAAGAGAUGGCGGCUUACUACAGUUUUUUCAAUUCGUUCGGAGAAACCAUGGGUUCUUAAUUUUUUCCUUCCAUUUUAGAUUUAGGGAGAUUUAUUCAAAGUCUUGAAUGAUGAAGGCUUCCUCUGCUUAUGUUACAGCGGUGCAGCCACCGAUGGUUAUGAAGAAACGUGGAUGGAGAUGAAUUUGAAUCUUUAAGUGAAGUUGUUGUUUUAGCUUUGUCGUUACUGCUACUCUGCAAGAAGAUGAUGGAUGAGAAUUUAAAGAAGUUUCACAGACUUAUUUGAUCACUUGUGGUAUCUCUUGAACUUGGAAUGAGAUUAGAUAUGAAUGUUGAAGAUGUGAAUUGCUCA